Molecule: ribosomal RNA, 310 nt
Filed under: Streptomyces camponoticapitis
Lineage: Bacteria; Bacillati; Actinomycetota; Actinomycetes; Kitasatosporales; Streptomycetaceae
Description: bacterial SSU rRNA
Source: RNAcentral
GGUGAUGGGGACUCACRGGAGACCGCCGGGGUCAACUCGGAGGAAGGUGGGGACGACGUCAAGUCAUCAUGCCCCUUAUGUCUUGGGCUGCACACGUGCUACAAUGGCCGGUACAAUGAGCUGCGAWACCGYGAGGUGGAGCGAAUCUCAAAAAGCCGGUCUCAGUUCGGAUUGGGGUCUGCAACUCGACCCCAUGAAGUCGGAGUYGCUAGUAAUCGCAGAUCAGCAUUGCUGCGGUGAAUACGUUCCCGGGCCUUGUACACACCGCCCGUCACGUCACGAAAGUCGGUAACACCCGAAGCCGGUGGCC